UACGUAGGGUGCAAGCGUUGUCCGGAAUUAUUGGGCGUAAAGAGCUCGUAGGCGGUCUGUCGCGUCUGCUGUGAAAACUCAGGGCUUAACCCUGAGCUUGCAGUGGGUACGGGCAGACUAGAGUGCGGUAGGGGAGACUGGAAUUCCUGGUGUAGCGGUGAAAUGCGCAGAUAUCAGGAGGAACACCGGUGGCGAAGGCGGGUCUCUGGGCCGUAAGCUGACG
This 223-nucleotide ribosomal RNA is filed under the name uncultured bacterium. RNAcentral's name for it is "partial 16S ribosomal RNA". It matches the Rfam family "Bacterial small subunit ribosomal RNA", at positions 524 to 745 of the family's 1533-position model. The record is from RNAcentral.